GUGCUAUACAUGCAGUCGAACGAGUUCUCGUUGAUGAUCGGUGCUUGCACCGAGAUUCAACAUGGAACGAGUGGCGGACGGGUGAGUAACACGUGGGUAACCUGCCCUUAAGUGGGGGAUAACAUUUGGAAACAGAUGCUAAUACCGCAUAGAUCCAAGAACCGCAUGGUUCUUGGCUGAAAGAUGGCGUAAGCUAUCGCUUUUGGAUGGACCCGCGGCGUAUUAGCUAGUUGGUGAGGUAAUGGCUCACCAAGGCGAUGAUACGUAGCCGAACUGAGAGGUUGAUCGGCCACAUUGGGACUGAGACACGGCCCAAACUCCUACGGGAGGCAGCAGUAGGGAAUCUUCCACAAUGGACGCAAGUCUGAUGGAGCAACGCCGCGUGAGUGAAGAAGGCUUUCGGGUCGUAAAACUCUGUUGUUGGAGAAGAAUGGUCGGCAGAGUAACUGUUGUCGGCGUGACGGUAUCCAACCAGAAAGCCACGGCUAACUACGUGCCAGCAGCCGCGGUAAUACGUAGGUGGCAAGCGUUAUCCGGAUUUAUUGGGCGUAAAGCGAGCGCAGGCGGUUUUUUAAGUCUGAUGUGAAAGCCCUCGGCUUAACCGAGGAAGCGCAUCGGAAACUGGGAAACUUGAGUGCAGAAGAGGACAGUGGAACUCCAUGUGUAGCGGUGAAAUGCGUAGAUAUAUGGAAGAACACCAGUGGCGAAGGCGGCUGUCUGGUCUGUAACUGACGCUGAGGCUCGAAAGCAUGGGUAGCGAACAGGAUUAGAUACCCUGGUAGUCCAUGCCGUAAACGAUGAAUGCUAGGUGUUGGAGGGUUUCCGCCCUUCAGUGCCGCAGCUAACGCAUUAAGCAUUCCGCCUGGGGAGUACGACCGCAAGGUUGAAACUCAAAGGAAUUGACGGGGGCCCGCACAAGCGGUGGAGCAUGUGGUUUAAUUCGAAGCAACGCGAAGAACCUUACCAGGUCUUGACAUCUUUUGAUCACCUGAGAGAUCAGGUUUCCCCUUCGGGGGCAAAAUGACAGGUGGUGCAUGGUUGUCGUCAGCUCGUGUCGUGAGAUGUUGGGUUAAGUCCCGCAACGAGCGCAACCCUUAUGACUAGUUGCCAGCAUUUAGUUGGGCACUCUAGUAAGACUGCCGGUGACAAACCGGAGGAAGGUGGGGAUGACGUCAAAUCAUCAUGCCCCUUAUGACCUGGGCUACACACGUGCUACAAUGGAUGGUACAACGAGUUGCGAGACCGCGAGGUCAAGCUAAUCUCUUAAAGCCAUUCUCAGUUCGGACUGUAGGCUGCAACUCGCCUACACGAAGUCGGAAUCGCUAGUAAUCGCGGAUCAGCACGCCGCGGUGAAUACGUUCCCGGGCCUUGUACACACCGCCCGUCACACCAUGAGAGUUUGUAACACCCGAAGCCGGUGGCGUAACCCUUUUAGGGAGCGAGCCGUCUAAGG
RNAcentral lists this ribosomal RNA (1453 nucleotides) under Lacticaseibacillus casei. Its description in RNAcentral is "bacterial SSU rRNA". It matches the Rfam family "Bacterial small subunit ribosomal RNA". The record is from RNAcentral. Lineage: Bacteria; Bacillati; Bacillota; Bacilli; Lactobacillales; Lactobacillaceae.